AUGCAACUUCCAAUCGCAAAGGGGGGCUGUGUUUACACAUCAUACCAUGGGUUUCAUGAAUCACCAUUUCUAGAGAUUCGUCGACACAGCUUGUUGCCAGUACCAUAUAACUGGAAUUACCGAUGCAAGUCGAAGAAGGAUUGGCCGGUGUUGCCGGCUGGCGUCAAGUUCGAUCCCACGGAUCAGGAGCUGAUCGAGCACCUUGAGGCCAAAGUGAGUGUUGACAACGCGAGAUUUCGGUCUCUCAUUGAUUUGUUCAUACCAACCAUCGAUAGCGAGCACCGCAUAUGCUACACCCAACCUGAGAAACUUCCAGCAAAAAAGGUUCUGGUGCUGCACACCAACAAGAACUUCGACCAGCAGAGGACCAACUGGGUGAUGCACCAGUACCACAUCGGGGACCUGGAGCAAGAGAAGGAGCGGGAGCUGGUCCUCUGCAAGAUUUUCUACCAGACGAACACUAGGGCCAGGAGUAGUUUGGUAUUGGUAGUUGUACUACCUUGUCGUCCGCAAGUUGGUAUGGUUGUUAACGAUCUUUUGGCCCAGCCCAUGACGACAACGGGGCACAAAGAUCCAGCAGGUAUCUACUAG
This 591-nucleotide ribosomal RNA is filed under the name Triticum aestivum (bread wheat). RNAcentral's name for it is "partial small subunit ribosomal RNA". The record is from RNAcentral. Lineage: Eukaryota; Viridiplantae; Streptophyta; Magnoliopsida; Poales; Poaceae.